This 468-nucleotide ribosomal RNA is filed under the name uncultured bacterium. RNAcentral's name for it is "partial 16S ribosomal RNA". It matches the Rfam family "Bacterial small subunit ribosomal RNA", at positions 28 to 507 of the family's 1533-position model. The record is from RNAcentral.
GACGAACGCUGGCGGCGUGCUUAACACAUGCAAGUCGAACGGAAAGGCCCUGCUUUUGUGGGGUGCUCGAUUGGCGAACGGGUGAGUAACACGUGAGUAACCUGCCCUUGUCUUUGGGAUAACUUCAGGAAACUGGGGCUAAUACCGGAUAGGAGCUCCUGCUGCAUGGUGGGGGUUGGAAAGUUUCGGCGGUUGGGGCUGGAUUGGCGGCUUAUCGGCUGCUUGGUGGGGUAGGGGCUGACGAAGGCUUUGACGGGUAGCCGGCCUGGGAGGGGUACCGGGGACAUUGGGACUGAGGGAGGGCCCAGAAGGGUACGGGAGGCAGUAGGGGGGAACAUUGCGGAACGGGGGGAAGCCUGAUGCGGCAGCGCCGCGUGCGGAAUGACGGGUUUCUGGUUGUAAACCGCUUUCGACGGUGCUGAAGCGUGAGUGACGGUAAUGGGUAAAGAAGCACCGGCUAACUACGUG